GGAAUUGCUUUCAACAAGCU
Molecule: small nuclear RNA, 20 nt
Filed under: Arabidopsis thaliana (thale cress)
Lineage: Eukaryota; Viridiplantae; Streptophyta; Magnoliopsida; Brassicales; Brassicaceae
Description: snRNA_01074
Source: RNAcentral